GUGAAUCAUCGAAUCUUUGAACGCAUAUUGCACUCUCUGGUAUUCCGGAGAGUAUGCCUGUUUGAGGGUCAGUUAAAUAAAAAUCGGGGUUUUUGCCACCUUUGGUGGUGACGCUUCGGAAUUGGGUCGUCUUUACCUUUCGGUUAAGUGACUUAAAAUUUUUGAAUGAUAUCUGAACGUAUUUAAAUUUAUUUGGUACGUCUUUGUAAUAUCGAAUGUUUAUUAGGUGCGGUCAUCCACAUGAUUUCGCGCCUAUAAUUUUUCAUUAUUUGACCUCAAAUCAGGUAAGAAUACCCGCUGA
This 301-nucleotide unclassified non-coding RNA is filed under the name Glomeraceae sp. RNAcentral's name for it is "partial contains 5.8S ribosomal RNA, internal transcribed spacer 2, and large subunit ribosomal RNA". The stretch from base 1 to 71 matches the Rfam family "5.8S ribosomal RNA", at positions 84 to 154 of the family's 154-position model. Lineage: Eukaryota; Fungi; Glomeromycota; Glomeromycetes; Glomerales; Glomeraceae. The record is from RNAcentral.